Oncorhynchus tshawytscha (Chinook salmon) is the source of this 1012-nucleotide long non-coding RNA. RefSeq lists it as uncharacterized. The record is from RefSeq and is a predicted model, not a curated record. Lineage: Eukaryota; Metazoa; Chordata; Actinopteri; Salmoniformes; Salmonidae. The transcript is spliced from 5 exons.
AAAGAGAACACAGAUCAGGGAAGACAUCUCUUUCUCUAUCUGGGACCGCUGGACUGUGUGGGGUCACCAACACUUCUCCCUCUCGGACUUCAUCAACGCAGUGCUGGUGAAUUAUGGGAUAGAACCUACCAUGGUUGUCCAUGGAGUGAAGAUGCUCUAUGUUCCUGUGAUGCCAGGACACAACAAGAGACUGAAACUAACGAUGCAGAAGUUGAUCAAACCGUCUGUAGACCGUCGCUAUGUUGACCUGACCGUGUCCUUCGCUCCAGAGUCAGAUGGUGAUGAGGACCUUCCUGGACCCCCCGUUAGGUACUACUUCAGCCCCGACGGAGACGCUCACACCGCCUGACACGCCCGGACCAUAACAUCCCUGACGCCCCUCCAACUAACCAAAUAUAACCACCCCUCAGUCCCCUCAAACUAACCCUCUGUACCUGCAAAACCCUAGUUGACAACAGUGGUGCUUCUUGAACAGGGGUGGAUUCUAGAACAGGGGUGGAUUCUAGAACAGGGGUGGAUUCUAGAACAGGGGUGGAUUCUAGAACAUAUGUUGAUUCUAGAACAGGGGUGGAUUCUAGAAUAUAUGUUGAUUCUAGAACAGAUGGUGAUUCUAGAACAGAUGGUGAUUCUAGAACAGAUGGUGAUUCUAGAACAGGGCUGGCCCCAUGUACCAUUAUUAGAGAAGGAGCAUAGAGGUAGAAAGAGGGCUGUAGAUGGAUAUAACCUGGUCUGAUAUGAGUUCUCUUUCUACCUCUAUGAGAAGAGGGAAGCACUUGGCUGUGUACAUAGUAGUCCCUCUGUGUUUUCUACUCUGGUUUAAAACACAACUCUGACUGGUGUUUUCUACUCUGGUUUAAAGCACAGCUCUGACUGGUGUUUUCUACUCUGGUUUAAAAGCACAGCUCAGACUGCUAUGCACAUGCCUUAACUAACAACCUUGUUGUGUUUGUCAUGAUGAUGAUGAUGAUGAGAUGAUGAAAUAAAGACGACCGUGUUUACACACCCAUACAUA